Xenopus laevis (African clawed frog) is the source of this 1559-nucleotide long non-coding RNA. RefSeq lists it as uncharacterized. The transcript has 3 exons. NCBI's taxonomy places the organism in Eukaryota, Metazoa, Chordata, Amphibia, Anura, Pipidae. The record is from RefSeq and is a predicted model, not a curated record.
UUACGCUUUCUAGUCCGCUCUGUGGACUGCGACCGAGCCUCCAAGUCCCACCAAUCAAAAGCUCGGCCCCUGUGUGCUCCCCUCACACACGGCAACCUGUCACCUAGUUUCUAAAAACUAGAGAUCCCAUUACCACCCGCGCUUCAAUUCCUGUCCAAUCAGAGGAGGAGUUGGCGUCUUCCGCCGUCCCAGCAUCCCUCGCGGCCCGUUUCCUGUUCCAUGUUCUUCAAUUGUAACAACGCUGGCUUUUCGCUUUUGUCUAGGCCUCUCCAUUACAGCCUUAUGGGUGUCGCACUCUUAUAGAGGGGAAAAUGCCGCUUGUCGGAGGUCUGUACAGAGCUUGGGAUCCCAGCAUGAGUCAUACAUGAGGAAGAUGGCGGUAGAUGUAGUUCUGUAGCAGCGUGUGUUCAUUCAUUGUUUAUUGUCCUGUGUGUAGUUUAGCCCAGUCCGGGGGCAGGCAUCUUUGGCCUCUCAUGUCUCUAUACACUAUGUUUCCUCAUCCUUAGGGACCCGGUGUUGUCUGACUCCAAAUACAAAGGCCACAAGUAUAUUGUUGAGUAUUUAUCAUGUAACGUCCAACCUGCAGCCUUCUUCUGUCACAGGCCACGGGGAGUUGGAGUUCAACACCUACAGAGCUUCAUGGGCUUGUUCACCUAUCGUCUAACUUUUAGUAUAACAUAGAGAGGGAUAUUCUGAGAUAAUUUGUAAUUGGUUUUUGAUUUAUUUAGAUUUUUAUUCAGCAGCUUUCUAGUUUGUAAUUUCAGCCAUCUGGUUGCUAGGGUCCAAAUUCCCCUAGUAACCACGAACUGAAUGGAAUAAGGGACUGGGAUAUGAAUAGGAGAGGCCUGAAUAGAAAGGAAAUGAAAAGUAACAAUACAUUUGUAGCCUUACAGAGCUGUUGUUUUUUAGAAGGGGUCAGUGACCCCCAUUUGAUAGCUGGAAAAAGUCAGAAGAAGAAGGCAAAUAAUUAAACUAUAACUAAUGAAAAAAAAUGCUUAGAAUUGGCCAUUCUAUAACACACUAAAAGUUAAUAUAAAGGUGAUGCACUCCAUUUAAGUCUUUUGGCCAAUUCAGAUGUCAGAUUUUGAGGGACAGGUUAUACAUUAGGCAGAUGGCCAGUUGCGGGUGUUGACUUUCCCCUCCAGUAUUGGCCACUUUGUUCCUCUGAGAAGACUACAUGUAUACAGGCCGUCAUCCUGCAGAUUUAAGGGAAACUGAAGGCUUGUCUCCUGGAGCUUUAUGGCUGGGCAACUGAAGAAGUCUUCCUUGUGUAAAGGGUAAAAAAGACCCCUGUGAUAUGGUCAACUGAUCCUGCUUGGAAGAAGUCUCCCUUAUGUAAAGGGUAACAGUGAUAUAAAAGACCCCUAUGAUAUGGACUCCUUAUAUCACUCUCCCAUUGUCCGACAUUUGCAGCAAUUGUGGCCAAAUUCUUCUCUCUGGCUGACAUCAAUCUAAUCUCCCAGGGUCCAAGUGUAGUUUGUCCAGAUAACCAAGUCCAGCCCUGCGAGGUAUCACUAAUCAACUAAAGCAAAGGCUUAAUAAAAACUUGUCCAACUAAA